RNA transcript from Helianthus annuus (common sunflower), 1538 nucleotides. It is a transcript of the gene named UDP-xylose transporter 3, with no coding region annotated. Lineage: Eukaryota; Viridiplantae; Streptophyta; Magnoliopsida; Asterales; Asteraceae. The record is from RefSeq and is a predicted model, not a curated record. The transcript has 6 exons.
CCAAUGUUUUCGGAUCUUAUUUAAACAACACGCUCCUUCACUUCUUCAAUGCUCUCAAACCCUACACCCACAUCUUCUACUUCACGAUUCUUCCUUCUGCUUGAAGCCUCAGCAAUGCAAUCCAAUCGAUUCAAUCACUAGAGACACCAUUGAUAAGCUACUCAUCCUUCAUUUCUCUUCUGUUUGUUUACAACUCGAUGAUACCGUAUGCACUAAUUAUCCUAAUUCUAGGUUAGUUUUCAAUUAAUCGUUUUUUUACCGUUCAUUGGAUGUUGAUUUUAGGGCUUUCAAUCGAUUGUCUCAAGAUCUUAGGUUCUGGGAUGUAUCUGGGAGAAAACACUAUUCAUUUCUAAACCCUAACCUCUGUUCCCUUCAUGGCUCUACUGGAUCAUUCAUCGUCUUUUUCAAACGAUUUAGAAAUCAGGUUGUGAUGAUCAAUUUCAAUGCGUCUGAGUGAAAUUGGGCAAAGAUGAGAUUGUCCCCAUCUUGGCAGGGCAACCUGGAUGGUCAUGUGGUUUCACAUGGCAACCGUAAGUAUGCAGCCAUGGCGGAUUUAUCCACUCUGUUUGAUUGUUUACAAAUCUGAGCCUCAUAAUCGUUUUAUAACAUCGACAACAGUACUGGUAUACAUCUGUUAUGUUUUUGGUUUUGGUACUUUCAAUUACUGGUAUACAUCUGUUUGAAGAAGUCAAUUUUUUAGGAAAAGUAGAAAUUGGUUACAAGGUUGCUGAAUUAUUGAAUUUUGGAAUUGGAAUUCAGGUCAACGUUUUGAAAGUCUAUAUGAAGAGGGACGUGUUGCAUAUGUUGACAUAGCAAAUAUGUUUAUUUAUCGAUUACACCUGCAAUACGUUAUUUUAAAGUAUUUGAUAAAAGCUGCAACAUUGACAAGCUGGCAUCUGUUAGUCACAUUUUGUUCAUUACAUGUGGCAUUAUGGAUGAAGUUCUUUGAGCACAAGCCCUUUGAUUCAAGAGCUGUCAUGGGCUUUGGCAUAUUGAAUGGGAUUUCCAUUGGGCUUCUUAACCUCAGCCUCGGUUUCAAUUCUGUUGGUUUUUACCAGAUGACAAAACUAGCUAUCAUCCCUUGCACUGUGCUUUUGGAGACUCUUUUCUUCAGCAAGCAAUUCAGAGAGACUGAACCUUCUGGUGGUGGUUAGCCACCGUACUCUACGGCGAUGCUACAUACUCCGAUGCUGAACUAUCUAAGGUUGCAAAUUGGAGAACAAGGACGCCUUUGGUGGUAUCGGUUUGGUCAAAGGAUGGGCACUGGUGUUGAUAUCGGUGGGAGCAGCCGUCAACUCCAGCGACUAUAGAGAUCCAUGAAGCAUAAACAUUGGUUGUUUUGUGUAUGUAGUAUGCGAAACCCAACACGCAAGAUAACAUUAAUUCAUUUUAGUAUUAUUUUUGUAAGUUCAUUGUAAUUUAAUUACAUAAGUUAUCCUUAUGUGUGUUACGAGUCCGAGGUGUAAGUCAAGCCAAGUGUUGUGACUGUUGGAAAGAAAUGAAGACGCUUUGAUCUUUUUCAGAGACCCAUUUCUUUG